AUAGUAUCUAACAUUCUUUAUGCAAAACGUUCAGGACUCCUGGCGUAACCUGGCAAAUGCUUUCGCAAAUGACAAAUCAUUGUUUUUGCUAAAUAGUGUUAGUCAGCGUUCAUUGGCUCAAACCCUUGUUCUUUCUGCUUAUGGAAUGCAAAGUUCAGACGCAUCAAACCAAUAUGUGAAGGACCUCAUGGCUCAUAUGACAUCAUC
Molecule: non-coding RNA, 207 nt
Organism: Camelina sativa (false flax)
Lineage: Eukaryota; Viridiplantae; Streptophyta; Magnoliopsida; Brassicales; Brassicaceae
Source: RefSeq, a predicted model, not a curated record